GAUUGAACGCUGGCGGCAUGCCUAACACAUGCAAGUCGAACGGUAACAGGUCUUCGGAUGCUGACGAGUGGCGGACGGGUGAGUAAUGCGUAGGAAUCUGUCUUUUAGUGGGGGACAACCCAGGGAAACUUGGGCUAAUACCGCAUGAGCCCUGAGGGGGAAAGCGGGGGAUCUUCGGACCUCACGCUAAGGGAAGAGCCUACGUCUGAUUAGCUAGUUGGCAGGGUAAAGGCCUACCAAGGCGACGAUCAGUAGCUGGUCUGAGAGGACGACCAGCCACACUGGGACUGAGACACGGCCCAGACUCCUACGGGAGGCAGCAGUGGGGAAUUUUUCGCAAUGGGGGCAACCCUGACGAAGCAAUGCCGCGUGGAUGAAGAAGGCCUUCGGGUUGUAAAGUCCUUUCGUGGGGGACGAAAAGGCGGGUCCUAAUACGAUCUGCUGUUGACGUGAACCCAAGAAGAAGCACCGGCUAACUCCGUGCCAGCAGCCGCGGUAAUACGGGGGGUGCAAGCGU
Molecule: ribosomal RNA, 517 nt
Filed under: uncultured Acidithiobacillus ferrooxidans
Lineage: Bacteria; Pseudomonadati; Pseudomonadota; Acidithiobacillia; Acidithiobacillales; Acidithiobacillaceae
Description: bacterial SSU rRNA
Rfam family: Bacterial small subunit ribosomal RNA
Source: RNAcentral